AACGAACGCUGGCGGCAUGCCUAACACAUGCAAGUCGAACGAGACCUUCGGGUCUAGUGGCGCACGGGUGCGUAACGCGUGGGAACCUGCCCUUAGGUUCGGAAUAACUCCCCGAAAGGGGUGCUAAUACCGGAUAAUGUCUUCGGACCAAAGAUUUAUCGCCUUUGGAUGGGCCCGCGUUGGAUUAGCUAGUUGGUAGGGUAAAAGCCUACCAAGGCGACGAUCCAUAGCUGGUCUGAGAGGAUGAUCAGCCACACUGGGACUGCGACACGGCCCAGACUCCUUCGGGAGGCAGCAGUGGGGAAUAUUGUACAAUGGGCGAAAGCCUGAUCCAGCAAUGCCGCGUGAGUGAUGAAGGCCUUAGGGUUGUAAAGCUCUUUUACCCGGGAUGAUAAUGACAGUACCGGGAGAAUAAGCUCCGGCUAACUCCGUG
This 433-nucleotide ribosomal RNA is filed under the name uncultured bacterium. RNAcentral's name for it is "partial 16S ribosomal RNA". It matches the Rfam family "Bacterial small subunit ribosomal RNA", at positions 29 to 507 of the family's 1533-position model. The record is from RNAcentral.